CCAGAGAAAUUUGGAAUAAUACCCCAUACGAUCAAUGAUUGGCAUCGAUUAUUGAAGAAAACUCCGGUGGUAGAAGAUGGGCAUGCGUCCUAUUAGUUAGUUGGUGAGGUAACGGCUCACCAAGACAUCGAUAGGUAGGGGCCCUGAGAGGGGGAUCCCCCACACUGGUACUGAGACACGGACCAGACUCCUACGGGAGGCAGCAGUGAGGAAUAUUGGACAAUGGGGGCAACCCUGAUCCAGCCAUGCCGCGUGCAGGAAGACUGCCCUAUGGGUUGUAAACUGCUUUUAUACAGGAAGAAACCUACUUACGUGUAAGUAGCUGACGGUACUGUAAGAAUAAGGAUCGG
RNAcentral lists this ribosomal RNA (350 nucleotides) under uncultured bacterium. RNAcentral describes it as "bacterial SSU rRNA". It matches the Rfam family "Bacterial small subunit ribosomal RNA", at positions 148 to 496 of the family's 1533-position model. The record is from RNAcentral.